Non-coding RNA from Schistosoma mansoni, 45 nucleotides. NCBI's taxonomy places the organism in Eukaryota, Metazoa, Platyhelminthes, Trematoda, Strigeidida, Schistosomatidae. The record is from Rfam.
AUCAAACUGACGAGUCUCAAAUAGGAUGAAACACUCGUCCUAGAU